ACAGAUCUGGAUGCUGCUGGGCCAAGGUUUAAAUCAAUACUAAGUUUCCUGCGGCCAUCGAAUACCGACGCUUAUUUCGUUGAAGCAAUGCAUACUAAUGGAGCUACUUCAGAAAAAGAAGGAGAAGGAUUAAUACCGCCUAUUGCAGAUAUCGAUUAUUAUCCAAAUGGAGGUCAAUUGCAGCCAAAAUGUGUAAAGGGAGCAAGAUUUCGAACUGAGACUGGAGAAAUUGAUACGGGUAAAACAUUUAAGCAAAAAAUAUGCCUAUGUAAUUCAACCGGUUUCAUAUUGAAAAAUAUGUGACU
Parasteatoda tepidariorum (common house spider) is the source of this 305-nucleotide non-coding RNA. The record is from RefSeq and is a predicted model, not a curated record. Lineage: Eukaryota; Metazoa; Arthropoda; Arachnida; Araneae; Theridiidae.